CCUACGGGUGGCAGCAGUGGGGAAUAUUGCGCAAUGGGCGAAAGCCUGACGCAGCGACGCCGCGUGAGGGAUGAAGGUCUUCGGAUCGUAAACCUCUGUCAGCAGGGAAGAACGGUCACUGUGCUAAUCAGCAGUGAAUUGACGGUACCUGCAAAGGAAGCACCGGCUAACUCCGUGCCAGCAGCCGCGGUAAUACGGAGGGUGCGAGCGUUAAUCGGAAUUACUGGGCGUAAAGCGAUCGUAGGCGGUAUGUCAAGUCAAGUGUGAAAUCCCCGGGCUCAACGUGUGCACUGCGUUUGAAACUGGCAAACUUGAGUGUGUGAGAGGAUAGUGGAAUUCCAGGUGUAGGAGUGAAAUCCGUAGAUAUCUGGAGGAACAUCAGUGGCGAAGGCGACCAUCUGGCACAUAACUGACGCUGAGGAGCGAAAGCGUGGGUAGCAAACAGGAUUAGAUACCCCAGUAGUC
Molecule: ribosomal RNA, 465 nt
Filed under: uncultured bacterium
Lineage: Bacteria
Description: partial 16S ribosomal RNA
Rfam family: Bacterial small subunit ribosomal RNA
Source: RNAcentral